RNAcentral lists this ribosomal RNA (497 nucleotides) under uncultured bacterium. RNAcentral describes it as "partial 16S ribosomal RNA". It matches the Rfam family "Bacterial small subunit ribosomal RNA", at positions 28 to 507 of the family's 1533-position model. The record is from RNAcentral.
GACGAACGCUGGCGGCGUGCCUAAUACAUGCAAGUUGAGCGAUGAAGAUUGGUGCUUGCACCAAUUUGAAGAGCAGCGAACGGGUGAGUAACGCGUGGGGAAUCUGCCUUUGAGCGGGGGACAACAUUUGGAAACGAGUGCUAAUACCGCAUAACAACUUUAAACAUAAGUUUUAAGUUUGAAAGAUGCAAUUGCAUCACUCAAAGAUGAUCCCGCGUUGUAUUAGCUAGUUGGUGAGGUAAAGGCUCACCAAGGCGAUGGUACAUAGCCGACCUGAGAGGGUGAUCGGCCACAUUGGGACUGAGACACGGCCCAAACUCCUACGGGAGGCAGCAGUAGGGAAUCUUCGGCAAUGGACGAAAGUCUGACCGAGCAACGCCGCGUGAGUGAAGAAGGUUUUCGGAUCGUAAAACUCUGUUGGUAGAGAAGAACGUUGGUGAGAGUGGAAAGCUCAUCAAGUGACGGUAACUACCCAGAAAGGGACGGCUAACUACGUG